RNAcentral lists this ribosomal RNA (559 nucleotides) under uncultured bacterium. RNAcentral's name for it is "partial 16S ribosomal RNA". It matches the Rfam family "Bacterial small subunit ribosomal RNA", at positions 355 to 906 of the family's 1533-position model. The record is from RNAcentral.
UGGGGAAUUUUGGACAAUGGGGGAAACCCUGAUCCAGCCAUCCCGCGUGUGCGAUGAAGGCCUUCGGGUUGUAAAGCACUUUUGGCAGGAAAGAAACGUCGCGGGUUAAUACCCCGCGAAACUGACGGUACCUGCAGAAUAAGCACCGGCUAACUACGUGCCAGCAGCCGCGGUAAUACGUAGGGUGCAAGCGUUAAUCGGAAUUACUGGGCGUAAAGCGUGCGCAGGCGGUUCGGAAAGAAAGAUGUGAAAUCCCAGAGCUUAACUUUGGAACUGCAUUUUUAACUACCGGGCUAGAGUGUGUCAGAGGGAGGUGGAAUUCCGCGUGUAGCAGUGAAAUGCGUAGAUAUGCGGAGGAACACCGAUGGCGAAGGCAGCCUCCUGGGAUAACACUGACGCUCAUGCACGAAAGCGUGGGGAGCAAACAGGAUUAGAUACCCUGGUAGUCCACGCCCUAAACGAUGUCAACUAGCUGUUGGGGGCCUUCGGGCCUUGGUAGCGCAGCUAACGCGUGAAGUUGACCGCCUGGGGAGUACGGUCGCAAGAUUAAAACUCAAAU